GACGAACGCUGGCGGCGUGCUUAACACAUGCAAGUCGAACGGAAAGGCCCUGCUUUUGUGGGGUGCUCGAGUGGCGAACGGGUGAGUAACACGUGAGUAACCUGCCCUUGACUUUGGGAUAACUUCAGGAAACUGGGGCUAAUACCGGAUAGGAGCUCCUGCUGCAUGGUGGGGGUUGGAAAGUUUCGGCGGUUGGGGAUGGACUCGCGGCUUAUGAGCUUGUUGGUGGGGUAGUGGCUUACCAAGGCUUUGACGGGUAGCCGGCCGGAGAGGGUGACCGGCCACAUUGGGACUGCGAUACGGCCCAGACUCCUACAGGAGGCAGCAGUGGGGAAUAUUGCACAAUGGGCGGAAGCCUGAUGCAGCAACGCCGCGUGCGGGAUGACGGCCUUCGGGUUGUAAACCGCUUUCGCCUGUGACGAAGCGUGAGUGACGGUAAUGGGUAAAGAAGCACCGGCUAACUACGUG
RNAcentral lists this ribosomal RNA (468 nucleotides) under uncultured bacterium. RNAcentral describes it as "partial 16S ribosomal RNA". It matches the Rfam family "Bacterial small subunit ribosomal RNA", at positions 28 to 507 of the family's 1533-position model. The record is from RNAcentral.